CCUACGGGUGGCAGCAGUGAGGAAUAUUGGUCAAUGGGCGGGAGCCUGAACCAGCCAAGCCGCGUGAGGGAAGAAGGUACAGCGUAUCGUAAACCUCUUUUGUCAGGGGACAAAGGCGGGGACUAGUCCCCGUAUGAGGGUACCUGAAGAAAAAGCAUCGGCUAACUCCGUGCCAGCAGCCGCGGUAAUACGGAGGAUGCGAGCGUUAUCCGGAUUUAUUGGGUUUAAAGGGUGCGCAGGCGGCGUGUUAAGUCAGCGGUAAAAUGUCGGGGCUCAACCCCGGCGGGCCGUUGAAACUGGCGUGCUGGAGUUGGAGAGAAGUACGCGGAAUGCGUGGUGUAGUGGUGAAAUGCUUAGAUAUCGCGAAGAACCCCGAUUGCGAAGGCAGCGUACCGGCUCCACACUGACGCUGAGGCACGAAAGCGUGGGUAUCGAACAGGAUUAGAUACCCUGGUAGUC
This 459-nucleotide ribosomal RNA is filed under the name uncultured bacterium. RNAcentral describes it as "partial 16S ribosomal RNA". It matches the Rfam family "Bacterial small subunit ribosomal RNA", at positions 338 to 795 of the family's 1533-position model. The record is from RNAcentral.